RNAcentral lists this ribosomal RNA (254 nucleotides) under uncultured bacterium. Its description in RNAcentral is "partial 16S ribosomal RNA". It matches the Rfam family "Bacterial small subunit ribosomal RNA", at positions 524 to 776 of the family's 1533-position model. The record is from RNAcentral.
UCCGUAGGGAGCGAUCGUUGUCCGGAUUCAUUGGGCGUAAAGAGCUCGUAGGCGGCUUGAUAAGUCGGAUGUGAAACCUCCAGGCUCAACCUGGAGUCGCCAUCCGAUACUGUCAUAGCUAGAGUCCGGUAGGGGCCCACGGAACUCCUGGUGUAGCGGUGAAAUGCGCAGAUAUCAGGAAGAACACCAGUGGCGAAGGCGGUGGGCUGGGCCGGUACUGACGCUGAGGAGCGAAAGCGUGGGGAGAGAACAGG